Non-coding RNA from Vicugna pacos (alpaca), 342 nucleotides. Lineage: Eukaryota; Metazoa; Chordata; Mammalia; Artiodactyla; Camelidae. The record is from RefSeq and is a predicted model, not a curated record.
CACUACGCUCUUCCGAUACCCUCACACCCAACCUCCACUUCUGGCCAAUGUUGCUCCAACAGAGUAACAUUAUUAAAAUUUUCUGUUACACUGAAGUUAACCGAGGCAGAAAUACCACUGACAUCAAGUCUUCAGGGAUAGAUGAGCAAGGAGCAGAGUCGUGGAUUCACGAGAGAAGUCUAUUAUGUAGAUAGAUGGCAGAGACCACCUUACAUAACUGUUCCUACCAAAUCGGACCUUGGUGUAACAUCCGACAGAGCCCUGCUCCUAAAAGAGUGUGUUUAAAUUUUUCAUCAGACCGCCUUUAUAAAAAAUUGAAACAAUAGUCUCCAAGUGGGGGGA